Molecule: ribosomal RNA, 253 nt
Filed under: uncultured bacterium
Lineage: Bacteria
Description: partial 16S ribosomal RNA
Rfam family: Bacterial small subunit ribosomal RNA
Source: RNAcentral
UACGUAGGGGGCUAGCGUUGUCCGGAUUUAUUGGGCGUAAAGAGCGUGUAGGCGGCCAGGUAGGUCUGGUGUGAAAACUCGAGGCUUAACCUCGAGAUGUCAUCGGAAACCAUCUGGCUAGAGUCCGGAAGAGGAGAGUGGAAUUCCUGGUGUAGCGGCGAAAUGCGCAGAUAUCAGGAAGAACACCAAUGGCGAAAGCAGCUCUCUGGGACGGUACUGACGCUGAGACGCGAAAGCGUGGGGAGCGAACAGG